Long non-coding RNA from Symphalangus syndactylus (siamang), 432 nucleotides. RefSeq lists it as uncharacterized. The record is from RefSeq and is a predicted model, not a curated record. NCBI's taxonomy places the organism in Eukaryota, Metazoa, Chordata, Mammalia, Primates, Hylobatidae.
UCUUUCUCCCUCAGCUGGAGGAAGCAUGGCAGUGAGCCAAGGAGACGAGACCCUCUGCUUUGUCCUCCUGCUGUGCUGCUGGCAAGAAGUGAAGACCUGGCCAAUAAGAAUGAAUUCAGAUGAAAUUCUAGUCCAGGAGAUUUUGCAUCUGAAUAAAACAACACCGACCAAAAUGCCAAGUACAGCAUCAACAUUAUCAACAACAAUAUGAGAUCAUCUAAAGCAGAAGAGAAAGCUGCAUGAAAGUGUACUGAGAGCCAGUUACCACAGGGGGAUGCCACGCCCAGGCUAGGACUAGGGCCACGGGCAGAGCCUGCACUCACUACUCACUCCCACCCUUGGGAGCGGAAACCAAAUUAUGGAACAUUCUGUAUAAAGGAAAACUGUCUUAUUCUAAGGAUGACAAAUAAAAUAAACAUAUUUAAAUAUUAA